Aegilops tauschii subsp. strangulata is the source of this 313-nucleotide long non-coding RNA. RefSeq lists it as uncharacterized. The record is from RefSeq and is a predicted model, not a curated record. NCBI's taxonomy places the organism in Eukaryota, Viridiplantae, Streptophyta, Magnoliopsida, Poales, Poaceae.
GGUUGACGCCGCUGGGAUUUGAUCCAUGGUCUGCCGUGUAUAGAUUGCAGCGCAGCAGACCACUAAGGCUAGGCUCCUAAGCUUGCUAAUUUGGGCGUCUGGAACCUUAAGAAUAAAGGACAGGCGUACUCGGGCCGAGAUCAAUAGGCACGGUCGUGAUGGGCAUGUACGAGUGCCGCGGCCCACUGGACGGACAAGGGACCAGGCUGGAAGUUGUCAGGCAUCAAGAAGCUGCUUUGGAAAUUAAGCAAAGAAAUAAAGAAAGGAAAUAGACAUUCUUUGCAUGAGAAAUAAAGAAGGAAGAUGGUAAUUA